Long non-coding RNA from Capsella rubella, 442 nucleotides. RefSeq lists it as uncharacterized. The transcript is spliced from 2 exons. NCBI's taxonomy places the organism in Eukaryota, Viridiplantae, Streptophyta, Magnoliopsida, Brassicales, Brassicaceae. The record is from RefSeq and is a predicted model, not a curated record.
ACUAAUCUACACAUACAGACAACUAAAUCCUUUUCCGUUUAUUAAUCGGCCAGAUCCAAGAUCUAUUAGUUUCUAUAUUCUAUCAGUUUUUUCUUCCUAUUGAAGCAGCUGAUUGGGUACAAUAUCUCUUACGACGAUUCUGAUCCAGACAAUCGGGCAAGAAAGCAACAUAUUGAGUAAGCAAAUGUAUUUUCUGGAGUUUUAUUCAAUGGAGGAUAUUUCGUUUUGAUGGAGAACAGUUGGACGUAAUGGAGGACACGUAUAGUUGGGCUUAAUGUAAAUGGGCCACUUAAUUGUUUUGGCUUCUACCAGUUACCGUAAAUUUGUUUUGUUUAAUUUUAAAUAAGUAAAUACAGUGGCAGGACCUUGUAAAUAAGUGAGCUGAAUGAGAGUUUUUUCAUAAGUGUCUUUAAAAAUGUUAAUAUAGAUAUAUAUAUAUAUA